This 1213-nucleotide ribosomal RNA is filed under the name Aggregatibacter actinomycetemcomitans. RNAcentral's name for it is "bacterial SSU rRNA". It matches the Rfam family "Bacterial small subunit ribosomal RNA", at positions 86 to 1298 of the family's 1533-position model. Lineage: Bacteria; Pseudomonadati; Pseudomonadota; Gammaproteobacteria; Pasteurellales; Pasteurellaceae. The record is from RNAcentral.
UGCUGACGAGUGGCGGACGGGUGAGUAAUGCUUGGGGAUCUGUCUUAUGGAGGGGGAUAACGACGGGAAACUGUCGCUAAUACCGCGUAGAGUCGGGAGACGAAAGUGCGGGACCUUAGGGCCGCAUGCCAUGAGAUGAGCCCAAGUGUGAUUAGGUAGUUGGUGGGGUAAAGGCCUACCAAGCCGACGAUCGCUAGCUGGUCUGAGAGGAUGGCCAGCCACACCGGGACUGAGACACGGCCCGGACUCCUACGGGAGGCAGCAGUGGGGAAUAUUGCGCAAUGGGGGCAACCCUGAACGCAGCCAUGCCGCGUGAAUGAAGAAGGCCUUCGGGUUGUAAAGUUCUUUCGGUGAUGAGGAAGGUUGGUGUGUUAAUAGCAUGCCAACUUGACGUUAAAUACAGAAGAAGCACCGGCUAACUCCGUGCCAGCAGCCGCGGUAAUACGGGGGGUGCUAGCGUUAAUCGGAAUAACUGGGCGUAAAGGGCACGUAGGCGGACCUUUAAGUGAGGUGUGAAAUCCCCGGGCUUAACCUGGGAAUUGCAUUUCAUACUGGGGGUCUGGAGUACUUUAGGGAGGGGUAGAAUUCCACGUGUAGCGGUGAAAUGCGUAGAGAUGUGGAGGAAUACCGAAGGCGAAGGCAGCCCCUUGGGGAUGUACUGACGCUGAUGUGCGAAAGCGUGGGGAGCAAACAGGAUUAGAUACCCUGGUAGUCCACGCUGUAAACGGUGUCGAUUUGGGGAUUGGGGUUUAGCCCUGGUGCCCGAAGCUAACGUGAUAAAUCGACCGCCUGGGGAGUACGGCCGCAAGGUUAAAACUCAAAUGAAUUGACGGGGGCCCGCACAAGCGGUGGAGCAUGUGGUUUAAUUCGAUGCAACGCGAAGAACCUUACCUACUCUUGACAUCCGAAGAAGAACUCAGAGAUGGGUUUGUGCCUUAGGGAGCUUUGAGACAGGUGCUGCAUGGCUGUCGUCAGCUCGUGUUGUGAAAUGUUGGGUUAAGUCCCGCAACGAGCGCAACCCUUAUCCUUUGUUGCCAGCGAUUAGGUCGGGAACUCAAAGGAGACUGCCGGUGAUAAACCGGAGGAAGGUGGGGAUGACGUCAAGUCAUCAUGGCCCUUACGAGUAGGGCUACACACGUGCUACAAUGGCGUAUACAGAGGGUAACCAACCAGCGAUGGGGAGUGAAUCUCAGAAAGUGCGUCUAAGUCGGAU